AAUUCGGAUUAUACAUUGAUCGGAGAAGAGGUUAAUCAGUAGCCCGAGUCAAAGAAGGAAACUGUUUAGAGCUCUGAUUCGCAAGCAUAUCUUUACAAUCAACUACACAACAGCAACGAGAACAGCAACAGACCUCUGUUUAUGAUUUUUGACAGCAAGUUUACUUGCAGACUUGUAGGCUUAAAGCAUUGCAGCAGUUGUGUGCAGGUGACUGUGUACACACACAGGUUCUGUGUGGUUGUUUUUCAAAUUUGAAGCAGUAGCAAGAAUGUAAAAACAGCAGCCCAGGUCUGACACAGCAGCUUACGAAUUUAUGUACAACAUGUUCUGAGUUUUGUAAAGCUAACAGAGUGCAGUUUUGAAGCUAUUGUUGUGUGAUUAUGAAGUUUUGGAUCACCUCGACAGUUUUUAUUUUUUUUUUAACAUUCUGUUUUGUUUUGUAAGUUGUUAGUGUGACUGUUUGAUGUUGUAUACAGGUUGUUGUUUGUUUAAGCAAAA
Long non-coding RNA from Cynara cardunculus var. scolymus (artichoke), 498 nucleotides. RefSeq lists it as uncharacterized. Lineage: Eukaryota; Viridiplantae; Streptophyta; Magnoliopsida; Asterales; Asteraceae. The transcript has 2 exons. The record is from RefSeq and is a predicted model, not a curated record.